UACGAAGGGGGCUAGCGUUGUCCGGAAUCAUUGGGCGUAAAGAGCGUGUAGGCGGCCAGAUAAGUCCGCUGUGAAAUCUCGAGGCUCAACUUCGAGCUGUCGGUGGAAACUGUCUGGCUAGAGUCCGGAAGAGGAGAAUGGAAUUCCUGGUGUAGCGGUGAAAUGCGCAGAUAUCAGGAAGAACACCCGUGGCGAAGGCGGUUCUCUGGGACGGUACUGACGCUGAGACGCGAAAGCGUGGGGAGCGAACAGG
This 253-nucleotide ribosomal RNA is filed under the name uncultured bacterium. RNAcentral describes it as "partial 16S ribosomal RNA". It matches the Rfam family "Bacterial small subunit ribosomal RNA", at positions 524 to 776 of the family's 1533-position model. The record is from RNAcentral.